This is a long non-coding RNA of Amphimedon queenslandica, 323 nucleotides long. RefSeq lists it as uncharacterized. The record is from RefSeq and is a predicted model, not a curated record. The transcript has 2 exons. Lineage: Eukaryota; Metazoa; Porifera; Demospongiae; Haplosclerida; Niphatidae.
CCUAUGCUCUUUUCGCUGUAGCGUAGCCACUAGUGGCCUUGUUUCUCGAAGUUUUGGGUUCUUGGUCAAGUUACUACUUUGCUGAGUUGAAGUAAGUAUUAUGAAGUCUCUAUUAGCUCAAAUGACCUGCUGAAUCCUUGUUUGCUUGAUCACUGGAUCUCGUUGUGCUGUAAAACAUGGCGGCCUAUAGUUCUGACUUUAAACACCUUUUCUCCAAUCUGGGGCAGAGUUAGGUAUGAAUAUGAAACCAAUGAAGAUAAGUUGUCUGUUGUUUCUUGUACUGACUCUUUUCAGAAGAAAUAUAGAUUUUUAUGAAGUUUUUU